UGGCUCAGUUGGUAGAGUGUGGCACUUGCAACGUCAGGGUUGUGGGUUCGAUUCCCAU
This 58-nucleotide transfer RNA is filed under the name Salmo salar (Atlantic salmon). It matches the Rfam family "tRNA", at positions 8 to 63 of the family's 71-position model. From Rfam's summary of the family: Transfer RNA (tRNA) molecules are approximately 80 nucleotides in length. Their secondary structure includes four short double-helical elements and three loops (D, anti-codon, and T loops). The record is from Rfam by way of RNAcentral. RNAcentral also lists the same sequence under 1 other name. Lineage: Eukaryota; Metazoa; Chordata; Actinopteri; Salmoniformes; Salmonidae.